UACUGAUACACUUACUUUAUAACCUUAUUUCAUAAUUAUUUAACUUAACUUAGGUAGCUAUUUUCCAGUGUCUCUUGGGCUAGCUUAGAAAAAAAUAAAAAAUCUGUUUCCCUCCUUUUCAAACAUUAUUCCAGUCAUUUAAUUUAGUCAAGAUAAUUUACAAAAAAUGCUUAAUAAUGAUGGUGGCAGAGAGGGAAUCCCAGUUAAUUUCUAUCUCUGGAGUAUUUUCAUUACAAUAGUGCUUGUAACUGGCAUCAGCUAACAGCUUUUAUUGUAUUUAAAUAACUGCCUCCCUUUUUAGGUGCAUUUUCAUUAGGAAUGAUGUAAAAUUUUAUCUAAUCUACUGCUAUGACUACAUGAUUUGUCCUGUAAUGUAUUUGAUACAAUAAACUAUGCUGACAGAUUUCCUGAUAAUAAAUCAUGAUUACAUUUUGACAUUCUAAUAUUCUUUUGAGAGACUGGCAAAUCUGCUAAUAUUUUACUUCUGAAUUUAUAUUAACAACUGAGAUUAAACUACUGAGAUUAAAUUACUGAACUGUUACCUCUCCUUUUCACAGGUCCCUAUCUCAUUCUACGUUGUUUCUAUAAAGAUAGGAUAUGCCAACAUUUUCAUCUUGACAGGUGAAGAUGAGCUCUUUGUCAGAGAAGAGGACUUUUUGAGGGGCUGGACCCAACUGCUGGGGAGCUUUAUUGGCAGCACACUGAUAAGUGCCUGGAAGUCUCCUGACUACACUGAAGCAAUGCUCUGGCGAGUAAGUUGUCAGCUGCACAUCAAGACAAUAAAAGGAAGUCUCUCGAUUCCUCAGUCUCAUCUGCUGCAAAGGCUGAAUUCCCAUCUGGGGCGUGGAGGAUCACCAUGUC
Molecule: long non-coding RNA, 861 nt
Organism: Capra hircus (goat)
Lineage: Eukaryota; Metazoa; Chordata; Mammalia; Artiodactyla; Bovidae
Exons: 3
Source: RefSeq, a predicted model, not a curated record